Molecule: long non-coding RNA, 1953 nt
Organism: Macadamia integrifolia
Lineage: Eukaryota; Viridiplantae; Streptophyta; Magnoliopsida; Proteales; Proteaceae
Exons: 2
Source: RefSeq, a predicted model, not a curated record
UCAGAUCACUCACGCACAAAUUGGAGUGAGAGAAAAGAGAUGGGAUAGAAGUGGGUGGGAUGGCUUCUCAGCUGUUGAAGAAUUCUCUCAGAAUUUUGGGAGCAUAAGCUGCAAACAUUCUUAAAGUUGUGUCUUGGAAGUUACGGCAAUGCCUCUUUUAUGGAGGUUUAUAACUUCUACCUAAAAUAGGAAAUCUACUUAACUUAUGAUAGGGCAUAAUAGAACUCCUAUUUAGCUUAGGACUUAAGCUACUAACUAAUUAAUGUUUUUGUCCAUUAACAAUUUAAAACUCCAAACAGUCUUAAGAAAUAUAAACCUAAGACUCCAACAUGGAGUAGGACUCAAUUAAAAUAAUAAAAACAUGCUAGCACUAGGAGAACCAAGCCCAUCAGUAUGCUGGUUCAAUCAGACCAUAUCUGGGAUGCUGGGAGGCUGGUUCGAAGCUUGGUCUGAACUCCGCUUCUUCCUUCUUUGAUAGGUGAUGCCAAACCCGCUGAGAUGAUCUACAUCAAGUGGAGCUGAUAUAAACAACUAGAGAAUUGAGAUGGAAUGUAAUAUCCAGUAACUGUUGAGGACAGAAAAACUUAGCAUAGACCUGCCUUUCUGUAAUCCAAGCCUAUAAACGAAUAUCUGAGAGAGGAAGAGUGAAUGGGGAGCGUACUAAUUAAUAAAAAACAUCACUUCCCCAGCCAUGCUUAUGUGGCCCGUGUGAUUAUGUUGAAAGAUUGUCUUUUAGACCGAGACCAAUGAAUUGCAAUUCCAAAUGCAACAGUUAUGGUUCGAAAUGUCUGCUAUGAAUCCUUUAUCCAACCAUAUUGAAGGGUUCAAUGCCAAAAGCCAUCUUUGAUUUGCUAGCUGAGGUUACUUGAUGUGCUUGAUUUUACAUAUUAGAACUAUUUGUGAGCAAGUGCUCACAAAAUGGCAGAUUACUUGAUCUUUUCUGCAACCUUUGUUCAGAAGAGAGCUGACAAGCGGUUUCUCAUUUUUGGGUUUAAGCCUUUGCAUGUGAAAUUGUCAUUGUAAAAGAGGAUUCAGCCUUUGGUGUAUAUAUUUCUUAAAUUGUUUAUUUCUGCAUGUUAUCAGUACAGCAAGGGUACAUACACUUGUAAUUUCAUUAUAUAUUUCUGGGGGAAAAUGUUUCCUGUGGGGGAGUGUGGGGCCCAGGGGCGGAGUUGCAAAUGAGCGGCCCACCCCCAUAAAAGGAAAAUUGACUUUGUGGAUGCUUCCUCGUGCGCUCCCAUUGGCCCUCGUGCAUGUGCAGGAACCACACUCCCACAUAGGAAGCAAUUCUCCAUAUUUCUUUUAUAAAUAAAAACUCAGAGUUAAGUGGGGAUAACUGGAUGACUUCUCAAUUUCUUCAUUUUUCCCAUCUGCUCAUCUUUUUUCUUUUUUUCUCUUUCUUCUCUCUUACUUUUUGGCUGCUGUAACAUAUGAACCUUUGAGAUUCUUUUGGUUGGUCUUUGUUUAGGUCAGCAUCACUCUGAUUGCUACUGGAUUUAAACGUCGAGAUGAAACUGAAGGAAGGCCUCUCCAGAGAAGUCAGCUAGGUCAUGGAGACGUCAACCUUGGGAUCAGUCGACGAUCUUCCUCUUUCACUGAAGCUGGCUCAGUGGAGAUCCCUGAGUUCCUGAAAAAGAAAGGACGCUCACGUUAUCCUAGAGCUUGACACUCUUUUUGUUUCCUCCCUUGUAAUAUAUUUCCCCAACCACCCUUUUUCAGUUCAUUAUUUUCUCCUUCACUUCAAAUCCUUCCACAGGUAUUCAGAGCAGCCUAGGAUAUUACAAGGUUUUAUGCCUUAGCUUACUAACUCCGAGAUCCAUUGUUCCCUUUCGAUAAAGUCUAUUUUCUCCAAUCAAAUAAUAAUAAGAAGCUGAAUUUGUUUGGCAUUGUUCAUUUGAUCAUGUAAAAAAUAUAUAAUUAAUUAUUUAUUUAUUUAUUAUUAUUAUUUUUCAA